RNAcentral lists this ribosomal RNA (253 nucleotides) under uncultured bacterium. RNAcentral's name for it is "partial 16S ribosomal RNA". It matches the Rfam family "Bacterial small subunit ribosomal RNA", at positions 524 to 776 of the family's 1533-position model. The record is from RNAcentral.
GACGGAGGGUGCUAGCGUUGUUCGGAAUGACUGGGCGUAAAGGGCUCGUAGGCGGCCUAUUGCGUCUGCUGUGAAAGCCCGGGGCUUAACCCCGGGUCUGCAGUGGAUACGGGCAGGCUAGAGUUCGGCAGGGGAGACUGGAAUUCCUGGUGUAGCGGUGAAAUGCGCAGAUAUCAGGAGGAACACCGGUGGCGAAGGCGGCUUGCUGGGCCUUACCUGACGCUGAGGAGCGAAAGCGUGGGGAGCGAACAGG